This 1544-nucleotide ribosomal RNA is filed under the name Escherichia coli. Its description in RNAcentral is "bacterial SSU rRNA". It matches the Rfam family "Bacterial small subunit ribosomal RNA". The record is from RNAcentral. Lineage: Bacteria; Pseudomonadati; Pseudomonadota; Gammaproteobacteria; Enterobacterales; Enterobacteriaceae.
AAAUUGAAGAGUUUGAUCAUGGCUCAGAUUGAACGCUGGCGGCAGGCCUAACACAUGCAAGUCGAACGGUAACAGGAAGAAGCUUGCUUCUUUGCUGACGAGUGGCGGACGGGUGAGUAAUGUCUGGGAAACUGCCUGAUGGAGGGGGAUAACUACUGGAAACGGUAGCUAAUACCGCAUAACGUCGCAAGACCAAAGAGGGGGACCUUCGGGCCUCUUGCCAUCGGAUGUGCCCAGAUGGGAUUAGCUAGUAGGUGGGGUAACGGCUCACCUAGGCGACGAUCCCUAGCUGGUCUGAGAGGAUGACCAGCCACACUGGAACUGAGACACGGUCCAGACUCCUACGGGAGGCAGCAGUGGGGAAUAUUGCACAAUGGGCGCAAGCCUGAUGCAGCCAUGCCGCGUGUAUGAAGAAGGCCUUCGGGUUGUAAAGUACUUUCAGCGGGGAGGAAGGGAGUAAAGUUAAUACCUUUGCUCAUUGACGUUACCCGCAGAAGAAGCACCGGCUAACUCCGUGCCAGCAGCCGCGGUAAUACGGAGGGUGCAAGCGUUAAUCGGAAUUACUGGGCGUAAAGCGCACGCAGGCGGUUUGUUAAGUCAGAUGUGAAAUCCCCGGGCUCAACCUGGGAACUGCAUCUGAUACUGGCAAGCUUGAGUCUCGUAGAGGGGGGUAGAAUUCCAGGUGUAGCGGUGAAAUGCGUAGAGAUCUGGAGGAAUACCGGUGGCGAAGGCAGCCCCCUGGACGAAGACUGACGCUCAGGUGCGAAAGCGUGGGGAGCAAACAGGAUUAGAUACCCUGGUAGUCCACGCCGUAAACGAUGUCGACUUGGAGGUUGUGCCCUUGAGGCGUGGCUUCCGGAGCUAACGCGUUAAGUCGACCGCCCCUGGGGAGUACGGCCGCAAGGUUAAAACUCAAAUGAAUUGACGGGGGCCCGCACAAGCGGUGGAGCAUGUGGUUUAAUUCGAUGCAACGCGAAGAACCUUACCUGGUCUUGACAUCCACGGAAGUUUUCAGAGAUGAGAAUGUGCCUUCGGGAACCGUGAGACAGGUGCUGCAUGGCUGUCGUCAGCUCGUGUUGUGAAAUGUUGGGUUAAGUCCCGCAACGAGCGCAACCCUUAUCCUUUGUUGCCAGCGGUCCGGCCGGGAACUCAAAGGAGACUGCCAGUGAUAAACUGGAGGAAGGUGGGGAUGACGUCAAGUCAUCAUGGCCCUUACGACCAGGGCUACACACGUGCUACAAUGGCGCAUACAAAGAGAAGCGACCUCGCGAGAGCAAGCGGACCUCAUAAAGUGCGUCGUAGUCCGGAUUGGAGUCUGCAACUCGACUCCAUGAAGUCGGAAUCGCUAGUAAUCGUGGAUCAGAAUGCCACGGUGAAUACGUUCCCGGGCCUUGUACACACCGCCCGUCACACCAUGGGAGUGAGUUGCAAAAGAAGUAGGUAGCUUAACCUUCGGGAGGGCGCUUACCACUUUGUGAUUCAUGACUGGGGUGAAGUCGUAACAAGGUAACCGUAGGGGAACCUGCGGUUGGAUCACCUCCUUA